AACAACACGUGAGGCUUCCUGGAGCUCCAGCCGCUCCCAGAUCACCACGGCACGAAGGCGGGGCCUGGACCCUGCAACUUCCCUUGCACUUGAGCGGCUGACCACAUGUGCAGAGUUGAUGUGAACUACCACGGAGUUAUUUCUUGGCCGAGGAGGCUCGGGACUGCGUGUGACACCUGGACACUGCUUGGCUUUGGUCUGGGAACCGUCUGCUCAUGACACCCCACACCGUGGAUUGGAACCAGGACCUCUCUGCCUGGGGGGGCUCUCACCCCUUCUGAAAGGAGAGCUGGCUGCAGUCUCCUCCAUCGGGAGGGAAGCCGACCAGAACAAAUCCUGGGUACCCUUGGAGCACGUUGCCAGAGAGACCGCCGGGAAGAACACGCAGGUCCACCAUUCUGGGUCGGUCUGAAGCCAGGCCCUGCCAGGAGUCCUGAGGACGAGGGGCGAUCUGGAAAAGGUGUU
Molecule: long non-coding RNA, 465 nt
Filed under: Ursus maritimus (polar bear)
Lineage: Eukaryota; Metazoa; Chordata; Mammalia; Carnivora; Ursidae
Description: lncRNA (ENSUMAG00000024188.1)
Source: RNAcentral